This 2000-nucleotide long non-coding RNA is filed under the name Cottoperca gobio. Its description in RNAcentral is "lncRNA (ENSCGOG00000022856.1)". Lineage: Eukaryota; Metazoa; Chordata; Actinopteri; Perciformes; Bovichtidae. The record is from RNAcentral.
GGUCUAUGUGAGCGUGUGAGCCAGGUCGGAGGUCAUGCUGCGGACGGAAUCUGACUCCCACGGCCUCUUUUCGUCUGGAGAGACGUCUGACAAUGACUGUGAGAUGAGGGCGAGUUGUGGAGAGGUAGAUGUAGUGUGUGUGUGCGAGGCCGGUCCCUGUACACUUUAUUCAGAAGCACACACUCCUACGCCGGACACACUGCUGUGUGAACACUGUGGGAAAAACCGGGUAAUGAUAACCAGGUACUCCGAGGGAUACGGCACGGAGGAGGAGUGUGUGUUGUCUGACCCUCAGGGGGAGAGUGAUGCAGAUGCUGAUAUAGAGGACACAGAUUGCAGACUCCAGGAGCCAGGUUCUCUCCAGCGAAUCAGCUCUCGAAGACGUAAGCGUCCGCGGGUAGCUCGGCAAGACACCACCGAGAGCGAGGACGACGGCGGGCGAAGCCACAGAUCACAUCGCUGGAACCUCAGGCUCAGCCCUGCCAGACCACACAGCAGGACAAUACUGGAGGAGAGCAUAUCACAGGUCAGGCCACUGGUCAUCUGCCGGCCGAACGAGGAGAGGCAACAGAGUCCGGGCGACCUGCCCCGAGGCUCCAAGCGUCUGAGGUCUCUAUGGCCAUCUUCCCUCUCUCUGCCUCUCAUCCUCCUCCUCUUGCUGCCUCUCUCCCUCUCCCUCGUCAUUGUUAUCGUGUCUUUCCUUCUACCGUGGGCCAGCGCUUGACUCUUUUCUGUUUCAUGAGAAUAGUUUAUUACAACAAAAAAACAACCACCGACUCAGACAAUGCACAAAAUGGGAACACGCACAUGUUGCUUUACGCAGGAUAGUACAGAUAAAGCCGCUCUCUGUACAUGUUACAUCCAGAAACUCUGCUCACGAUCUAAACUCAGUGCUUUCUUCUGCUUCAUGAAAUCUCACCUUCCACUUUCUCACCCCCUCGUUUGUAAAAAUAGACCUCUCGUCUGGCUCCUUGUUCUAACGAGCCACAGGAGUGAUACGCGGGGGAAAGGUUUCAGGGCUGCACAGGUAGAUUCAAAAGGGAAAAUUACAACGCUCAAGUGGAAAAUAGGACGACGAUGAUGCUGCUGAACUAUGCAAUUCUUAAGUUCCUACUGCAGCAUCUCAUCUGCUGUUAAAAGAAGUCUCCUAUUUCUUUGGCACUAUCGUCCCCUUCUUGACCCCUUCCCUUGUCUCUUUGAAAUACAAGGAGUUCUGGUUCUAAAAUAGAGCAUGACCCAAUUUAAAAAGCAAUAGCAGAAGAGAUCUGAUAUGGCUCCUGAUCUGUAGUUGUUGAGCAGUACGUGUGUUUAAUGAGUGGGUUAUGUGUUAUUUUACUGGUUGCCGAUUUAAAAACAGGGAAUCUUCUUUUUCUUCUUCCUCGCUGCACUCGUGUAUGUUUUCAGUAAAAUAAGCCGACCUCAAAACUAAAUGGGCUUUAUUGGAACUUAAUUAUGUUAAAGUCAUUUAAACACUUCUUACAGUUGAUUACUAUUGUGUUUAAAAGUAUUCAUGUUAUGUUAUCUAUAUUUAUGAAUGAUCAUUUAAGAAGAAAUGUGAGGUUGACAAUCAGUCACGCUACUUAUUCCAAUUGGAAAAGGCUGUGACUUUUCUGUACUGUAUGUUAAUUGUUACGGUGUUUUUGUAUGUAUUUAAAGUUGUGACUUUGCUUCACACCACAGUGGAUUUGCUUGCAUCCUUGUAGAGAAAUGUUCCCAAUUGAGAUCAGGUUGUGCUGUAUGAGCUCAUUUGAUUCAUGUUGUGUUGCCUGCCUUACCUUUUAUCUCCAUGUGUGUGUGUGUGUGUGUGUGUGUGUGUGUGUGUGUGUGUGUGUGUGUGUGUGUGUGUGUGUGUGUAUGUGUGUUCACCUUUGUGUUCAUGGGGCCAUAGAAGUAAAAAAGCCAAUAAAACUACAUUGUAUUUUGACAAAAAAAAAAACUGCUUCCUUUUUGUUUAUAAGAGCAAAUGUAAAAUCAUAUGAGUGAAUGAAUCACCCAAAAGA